Molecule: long non-coding RNA, 3853 nt
Organism: Bos taurus (domestic cattle)
Lineage: Eukaryota; Metazoa; Chordata; Mammalia; Artiodactyla; Bovidae
Source: Ensembl
GGAGGGAGGUGCAGAUUUGCACGGCUGGCCUCAGCGGGAGGCGCGGAAAUGCAAGCCGAGCCUGCUGGAGUGAAAGCCCCCGGGGCCUGGCACCCCCGAAAACGACCUCCCACCUUAAUCCCUGCCCCCAUCGCCCACGGCCCCCAUGGGCGACCCCUCUUCUUCCUCUUCCUUCAUUUACCCCACCUCGUUACCUACGUGGCUGACCCAAAUUCAAAGCAUUUUGUGUAUAUAUAAUUUUUUUUUUUCUUUUCUGCUAUGUCUUUUUUUGGGGGGGUGGCGGGGGUGGGGGGAGAAAUCCUCUCUAGAGCCGUAAGCGGAUCUGCCACACGGAGGAAGCAUUUGGGGGCUCAGGAAGAAAUUAGCGCAGCUCCAUACCUGUACGGACUACAUAACUUUUAAACUACUGGACUCAAAGGAUCCACAUACACACAGGUACAGGAAAUACAGUCAGACCAAAGCCUUUUCAGACCCAAGCUGACCGGAAGACGUUGCCUUUCAUUCAUUCAUUCUGCCCGCGUCUGUGGAGUCCUUUACUAGGCGAGAAGCCCUAGAAGAGAAGUUGGACGUUUUUUAAAGGUCCCUGCGCUCUCCAAGAAGAGGAAAUAGAUGCUCAGGAGUGAACUACCGAGAGAAUCGGAUCUGGCGCCUCCUAACGCAGCUGGCAAACAUGCGAAGGACCCUUCUGUCUCUCCAUGUGGUCGGUCUCAUGGUAUCCCCAAAAGCUGGUGUCAAGAGAAGACCCGAUGGCAGACACCUUAGUGUAAAAACAGAAAAAAAAGACCAGGCCAGUUGUAUUUGAAACAAAAUAAUAAUGACUUUUGGACCUUCUUGCUCAUUCUUACAAAAGGCCCAGUCAGAUCCUGGCUGUGUUGGCCCCAUUCAUUCAUUUCUUCAUUCAUCAAAGGUUGAUUGAGCAGCUCUGUGCUCUAAAGACUUCGAGGAUGGAAAAAUCAGCUCCGAUUGUAGCCUCUUCCUCCAGACGGGGCAAGAAGUGGGCUGCCAGCUUCCCAAACAAGUCAGGAAGGACUGAUGCUGGAUGGAACCCCCAGAAUCUAGGAUUUUUCACACUGUUAGAAACUGAAGCUGUCAUAUUCAUGUAUCAUUAUAAUAGCUCCUGAUUUUUGAGAGCUUACUCUGUCUUUGAGCAAAAGCUCUCACAUUUUGCUAUCUCUUGAAAUCCUCAUCAAAGUUCUCUGAGAGAGGGUCUGUAAUUGCCCAUUUUUACAGCUGAGGCUCAAAAAGAGGUCAAGUCACUUGCCCACAAUUUAGGGCUGCGAAAUAGCAAAGACGGGUUUUGAAUCCUGGGCUGGUAGGAAUCCAGAGCCCAGAGGCUUCUGUCUGUCUAGUCUUUCCUGCAGGGCAGUCCCACAGAACACGAAGAUGGAAAUGUUCUAUGUCUGUGCUAACAGAGGAGCCUCUAGCCACAUGUGGCUGUUGAGCACUGUCCAAGAAUUAUUUAAUCAGUUCCCCAAAUUUCAGAAUGAAAUGUGAAUAGUGGGAUUAAGGAACUAAAUGCUGAAUUUUAUUUAAUUUUAAUUAAAUUUAAAUACCUAUAUAUAGUAUCUCCCUUACUGGACAGUGCAACCUUAGAGUACAAUCCAGAAUUUGUCUUGAGGGGAGGUGAUCAGGGAUAUCUACAAAGGUUUUCUAGAAGGAGCCAUCUGUGCAACAUGAAUGGAGUGUUAGCACUUAAACCACCCACUCUGUGUGCCUGCUAAGAGCAUGGCACCAGAGGCCGCUGGGGAUGCCAGCAUGAUAUAAAAUUGUCCCACCUGCCCAGAUCUGACAAAUAAACUUCUCAGGUACAGAUGAUUGGUGACAGCAGGAAGCCUUAGAAAUGGAUGACUACUUCCUGAUAUAUAUCCGACAGUCAGACUCAAACACAAAGAUGCGAUGCAUUGUAGCCCUAUGCAAAAUAGAUUUGGGAGAAGAUUAAAAAUGAUCUGAAAGCUGGGGAACUGAUUAAAUAAUUCUUGUAUAGUUUGUAUGCCCAAGGAAAUGCUAUCAAAUCAUUAAAAAGAACAAGGUAGCUAUAUAUAUAUAUAUAUGUAUAUAUAUGCAUACAUAUAUAUUAUGUAUAUAGGGCUUCCUGGCUCAGUGAUUAAGAAUGCAAGAGAUGAGGGUUCUAUCCCUGUGUUGGGAAGAACCCCUGGAGAAGGAAAUGACAACCAACUUCAGUAUUUUUGCCUGGGAAAUCUCAUGGACAGAGGAGCCUGGCGGGCUAUAGUCCAUGGGGUCCCAAAAAGAGCUGGACAUGAUUUAGCAACCAAACAAUAACAAACUAUAGAUACUGAUGUAAAAUGAUUUCAUGAUAUCCUUACAUUAAAACAAAACAAGGUGCAGAAUAAUACCAAACUGUGAUGACCGCUUAUGUAAACCAAAGAGAAUAUAUCUAUAUCUACAGUUUUUUAUAUGUGCAAAAUUUUCUUUGGAAAGAAAUACAACUUUUAAAUGGGGGAAAGAACUGGAAAAGACAAAAAUACUUUUUCUUUGGUACAGUGUGAUAUCUUUACCAUAUAUAAGUGUUAGUGUUGCCUGAUUUUGAACCUUAUAGAUUUCAUUUUAUAUGUUGUGUUAUCUUUUGAAUUUUAUACUAUGCAUAGUAUAAAAUUGUAUUACCUACUCAAAAUUGAAUUUCAUUUUAUUUGUGAUUUUUGAGCCUAUGAGUUUCAAAAUCAGGCAAAUCUAAACCAAAUAAAUAUUAUUUAGUUAUACAUACAUAAGUGGUAAAGCAUAAAUAAAAGCAAAGGCAUGAUUAACAGAAAAAGCCGGAAGAAAGUCGCUCUGGGCUAGGGAAUGUGAAGAGUGAAAGGUACUAGUGAUUUUCUGUUUCUUAAUCUAGGUGGAGGACACCUGAUAAAUUCUACUGUGUUUAUGAAAGGUUCCACUCUUUAAAAAUUGUUUUAAAAUUGCUUUCUUCCUCUCCCACUCCUAGUUUCUCCUCUCCACACUCCCAUCCCCAGAAAACUUAGCAAGUCUCUUGGGCAUCCUCCCAGAAAUGGUUUAUGCUGUUACAAAACCUCUACAUAUAUUUUCUUUUAUUAUUGUGUCACACAAAUAUACACCCUGUCCUUCCCCUUCCUUUUUCAUUUAAUCUAAUCUUGGAGUUCUUUCCAUAUACUAUCUGUAGAACUGCCUCAUUCUAAAAUAUUACUUUAAGGAUGAGAUAAAUCUGAAUCACAUGAUACAGAAAAAUUCAAGAUUGGUUAAGAAACAUAAGUCACAGAAUAACCUGUAAUGAUCCCAUUUAUGUUAAAACAAACUAUAAUGUAUAGACAUGCAAGAGAAAGAAAGAAAAAGGCUUGAAUAGAACAACAAACCAUUCAUUGUUUGAUCACUUCUGAGGAGAGGACAAAGUUUUGAGCGGGUUAUAUAGAGUCUAUACUUAAUUAUUUGCAUUUUUAACAACCAUUGUGCCCUGUUAAAUUUAUCAGAUAUUUCGAACAUAAAGGCAUAGAAAAUAAAUGUAAAUAAAUAUAGGAAGAACUUGUAUAUCUAGCAUCUCUGUUUGCCAAUCCAAACCCUAGAGUUUUGUCAUAUUUUGGGUCACUUUUGCAAUUUAAUAAAUACUCUGGGACAACAGACCACACUAUUACAGUUAAAGUGAUUGUAGUUCCCAGAGACUUGUGUUUGUUUGGGUUUUUGUUUGGCUCCUCAGUCCUUGUGGAUUGCAAUAUCUGAGUAAGAAAAACCAUGGCCAAAUUACACAUGGCCUGAGUGUCAGGCUUUGAUCCUUUGAGGAAAACAGGUUUGUGCCUAGAGUUCUACAUAUUAUAAUAUGUCUUCCUUCCUGAAGGUUGGAAGGAAACUUGGAAAUAACAGGUGAGUUAAUCAAGGGGUUAACUCCAGG